CGAAGUAGAAAGUGAUACAAUCAAAGGAACAGAUUUAAGAUGAAGAUCACCGGCAUGACGAUCCUGACUAAACUGUAAAACCCUAAUUUCAGCUUUACAUUACAAACCUCACUCACUUGCAAUGCAUGCGUAUAUCUCUCUCUGUGAAGGCAAAUGCAGAUUCUGUUGCUGCUUCAGAAACAGCAACCGCCAUGUGAGAUGGAAGGGAGGGAUAUGAGGAAUUCUGAGGAGCUGAGUGCCCUUGGUGUCAAAGAUGAAGAUUUGAUACUGAUAGUAUGCAAUGCUGCUUAAGCUUGAGUUGAUUCCAACAUUAACAUGUGGGAAGAUCAGCCGGUGGAGGAAGCAACUUCUGGUUGGGAAGCUUUCCAUCUAAGACUACCCAAGCCAUCUUCAAGCCCCAACUAGUAUGGAUCUCCAAGUGGCAAUGCAUAAACCAUACACCUGUAAAUAUUUUUUUAAGUAAAUAGUUAAUUAGGCUAAGGUCUUUGAUUAAAAUUUAAUGUUAAGUGUCAUUCUUAAUUCUCUUUCUUCUUUUAUCUAAAUCUUCAGGUUACUAAUUCCAGUCACUUUACUACAUAAAUAUUAACUUCAUUGAUGACUGCA
Molecule: long non-coding RNA, 603 nt
Organism: Prunus dulcis (almond)
Lineage: Eukaryota; Viridiplantae; Streptophyta; Magnoliopsida; Rosales; Rosaceae
Exons: 3
Source: RefSeq, a predicted model, not a curated record